CUGAGAAAUGGCUUACCACUUUCUACGGAAGGCAGCAGGCGCGCAAAUUACUCAAUCCCAAUACGGGGAAGUAGUGACAAUAAAUAUCAAUACCUAUCCUUUUUGGAGGGGAAUAGAGAUGAACACAAAUAAAAACUCUCAAAUAACACACUUGGAGGGGAAGUCUGGGGCCCCCACCCCCGGUGAUUCCCCCUCCCCUAUCACAUACAAAAGUUGUUGCACUUAAAAAACUCUUAUUUUAAAUUUAAGGUUUAUCUGGGUAAAAAAAUUUGCCACUUUUUGGUUAAAUUCAACUCCAGUCUUCCUUUUCUUAAUAAAUCAUCUUCCAGUAUCUCUGAUAGUGGUUGUUUGGGCAUUUUUCUGUGAGAAAAAAGUGGUGUUUAAAAAAGGCGGCUCCCCUGAUCUUUUUUUUCANGGUAUGAUGAAACAUGACANUUUAUGCUNUUGGUUUGCGUCUAANGUGNAAUGAUUAAUAAGGA
RNAcentral lists this ribosomal RNA (479 nucleotides) under Dictyostelium giganteum. Its description in RNAcentral is "partial small subunit ribosomal RNA". It matches the Rfam family "Eukaryotic small subunit ribosomal RNA", at positions 396 to 878 of the family's 1831-position model. Lineage: Eukaryota; Evosea; Eumycetozoa; Dictyosteliales; Dictyosteliaceae. The record is from RNAcentral.